This 433-nucleotide ribosomal RNA is filed under the name uncultured bacterium. RNAcentral's name for it is "partial 16S ribosomal RNA". It matches the Rfam family "Bacterial small subunit ribosomal RNA", at positions 28 to 507 of the family's 1533-position model. The record is from RNAcentral.
AGCGAACGCUGGCGGCAGGCUUAACACAUGCAAGUCGAGCGGGCCUUUCGGGGUCAGCGGCGGACGGGUGAGUAACGCGUGGGAACGUGCCCUCUGGUUCGGAAUAACUCAGGGAAACUUGAGCUAAUACCGGAUACGCCCUUUUGGGGAAAGGCUUGCUGCCGGAGGAUCGGCCCGCGUCUGAUUCGCUAGUUGGUGAGGUAACGGCUCACCAAGGCGACGAUCAGGAGCUGGUCUGAGAGGAUGCUCCGGCACACUGGGGAUGAGACCCGGCCCAGAACCCGACGGGGGGGAGGAGUGGGGAAUACUGGACAAGGGGGCCAAACCCGGUCCCGCCCUGCCCGGGGAGGGGUGAAGGGCUUAGGGUUGUAAAGCUCUUUUAUCCGGGACGAUAAUGACGGUACCGGAGGAAUAAGCCCCGGCUAACUUCGUG